Molecule: long non-coding RNA, 5423 nt
Organism: Mustela lutreola (European mink)
Lineage: Eukaryota; Metazoa; Chordata; Mammalia; Carnivora; Mustelidae
Exons: 4
Source: RefSeq, a predicted model, not a curated record
AGAGAGACAGCAAGAGAAGGAACACAGCAGAGGGAGUGUGAGAGGGAGAAGCAGACCUCCUGCUGAGCAGAGAGCCCGAUGUGGGGCUCGGUCCCAGAUGCUGAGAUCAUGACCUGAGCUGAAGGCAGAUGCUUAACGACUGAGCCACCUACAGGCUCCCUACCCACCCCCCCUUUAUUUUAUUUUAAGAUUUAUUUUAGGGAGAAGAGAGAGAGAGAGAGAGUAUACAGGGAGAGGGGCAGAAAGAGAGGGAAAGAGAGAAUCUCAAGCAGACCCCAGCUGAGCAUGGAGCCCGACAUGUGGCUGGAUCCCACAACUCCGUGAUCAUGAUCUGAGCUGAAACCAAGAGUCAGAUGCUUACCCAGCUGAGUCACCCAGGUGCCCCUUCCCUCUUCUUAAUAAAGACACAAGAUAAUAAAGCACAUGGGUCCUGCAUUUGGAAUGCAAAUCUGCCUGCAGAACCACAUCCUGGCUGAGCUGCUUGGGAGGAAACAGUUACAGCAGCUCUCGCCAGAAGAUUCCUUCUAGAAGAUUCCCCAGGAGAAUCUGUGACCACAGCACUUUCCUUUUGAAUAGGGGUGGGUGGUGAUGGCCUGGGGGAGAUCCUAAGCCAAAGCUAGACUGCCUGAAGAAACAAAUUGGUGUUCCCAUGAACACUUGCUGAAAAGCAUCCAAAUUGGACUGUCAGAGAAAAUGCAAGAAAAUGAUAAUAUAAGCGAAAUCAAUCAUGGUUUCAGAUAGUUUUGGAACCUGGGAAAGAAGUCCUAUGAAUGCUGGUCUGAGAAUUGUUCUAAUAGCUCACCAAGUAUUUGUUAAGUUUUUGAAUCACCUAAGACCAACAGGCUUUCUGAGGAAGGAACAAAGACUUUGGAACAGACAGUUCUGAGAAAGUCAUAGACCUGCUCCACGGAAUCUAACCGGCCUUAUUCACGGGAGUUUGAUAAACAACCCAGCAGCCUUUUCUUCUCGGCUUUCAUUUUCUCCCUUCUGAUCAUUCCUGUAUUUCAUGACUUCUAGUUCCUUCAUUCACUUUUACCCCCGAGGAUAGGGUCAUGGAGCAAUCAGGGAUACAUUCAGGAACAGAAUAUUAAAGGUGCCAUCCUUGUUCUGCGUUAAAGAGAGACCAUCAUAGAGCCAUGGAAAAUGAAGCAAAUCAUUCACCUAGGACGGCUCGGAAUAGAUCAUUCCCCCGGCUCUGCACCCAUCCUCCGUAAAUGAAUCCAGUGCUUUUCUACAGGAUUUUAAAAGAUUUUAUUCCUAAUCCAUUUUUCUCCCUAGAGCUUUGGAAAUAUGGCUCUGUAAUUUAAUGAUUACAGGAGAUGAGCAAAAGAAUGAACUAAAUAGGAUAACAUCAGCUUGCCUUGUAAUGAGGGGCCAAAUUUUCCAAAUAUAGAGCAAAAUCCAAUUGUGGGGCUAUUGUUUAUGAUUCCUCCUUAACAGUGACAUGAGAGACCCUGUGGGAACACAUACAGCACCUUUCCCACACAACGAGCCUUCCCCUUGGCUUGUUAGAGAGUUUGGAGAGAGAAGCCAUAACGAUCAAUUUCUCUAAAUCACCCUCACUGCCCUGGAUAGCAGUGGCUUUGUUGAUGGAACAAGACAUCCCCGAAGCAAUGAACAAUAACCACGAGUUAGCAGGAGAGACAGCAAGCCCCUGAAACAUCAGGGGAUUUUCCUGUGGCUGAUAAAAAGUAAGAGUUAGAAAGUGUAUAUAUGCUACAUCUUCUUUGUCCAUUUAUCUGUCGAUGGGCACUUGGGCUGCUUCCAUAAUGGAGUAUCCUGGAUUAAAACCCGGAAUAGGAAGGGGACCUUACCAGAAAGACGGACGAAAUGGGAAUCAAGUCUGCAGGUAAGUGAAUAGUAAUGCACCAAUGUUAAUGUCUUAGAUUUGACAGAUGCACCCUGGUUUGGUAAUAGUUUAGUUAGCCUUAGGGGAAACUGGGGGACAGGCAUAUGGAACUCUGUUCUCUGUACUUCAUUGCAACUUUUCUGUAGAUACAAGUUUAUUUCAAAAUAUAAAGCUUAUGUUAGGGGUGCCUGGGUGGCUCAGUCUGUUAAGCGUCUGCCUUUGGCUCAGGUCAUGAUCCGGGGGUCCUGGAUUGAGCCUCGUGGGGGCUCCCUGCUCAGUGGGGGAUCUGCUGCUUCUUCCUCUUCCACCCUCCCUCCAGCCCUCCAGCUCAUGCUCUCUGUCUCCCUCUCUCUCAAGCGUGUUCUCUCAAUAAAUACAUAAAUUCUUUUUUUUUUUAAGUUUGUGUUAAAAAAAAAAAAAAAGUGAGGGGGUGCCCGGGUAGCUCAGUUAAUUAAGCGUCAGACUCUUGAUAUCGGCUCAGGUCAUGAUCUCAGGGUUGUGAGAUCGAGCCCCAUGGGGCUCAGGGCUUAGCACUGAGUUGGCUUGUCCCUCCCUUUCCUCCUCUGCCCCUCCCCCUGCUCAAGUGUACCCCUCUCUCUCUUCCUCUCUAAAAUAAAUAAUUUUUUUUUUUUUUUAAGGCCACAUUUUCACUGGCUACUGGUGGGAGCGUCAAUGAGGGCAAGUGUUCUGACGCUACUCAUUUAAGGCUUUAGAAGCGCGCAGGCCCACUGACCUCUACCUUCACUCCCAGGAAUCCCUCCUGAGGAAGAGUCCGGGGUAUUCAUCCCAGCAGUCUCUGUAAUGGGGACAGUUGGCUUCAAGCUAAGAGGCUAACAUCGGGACCCCAGGAACAAUGAUGAUGUAGCCACACCAAGGAAUAUGCCAAGGUCCCAAAAGCAAGGUGAAGAAGUAAAUGUGAUGAGGGAAGACUGUCACCAUAUGUCAUGGAGUGGAAAAAGCCGGCCACAAACUAUUCGGUAUGGUGUCGGGUGUCUCUCUUUUUUAAUCUGUGCCCGCUUACGAGGAUGGUUCACCAACACAUCAAGAGUGGUUUUCUCUAGGUAGAUGAGAUUGUGGGUGCUAUGAUCUGGAUUGCGUCCCCUUUAAAUUCACAUGUUUAACCAACUGAGCCACCCCGGCAACCCUUAAAGCACUGAGCUCGGGAUGCAACUGACUGCAUUUGGAGAUAAGGCCUUCGGGGAAGCAACUAGGGUUAAAUGAAGUCCUAAGGGUGGGGUCCUGAUUCUGCCUCUGGAAUCAGGCCUUCGAAGAAGAGCAGUCUCUCCUUCCCGGCACCUGCACGUGCAUCAUGUGAGCACAGAGCUGAAGGCAGCUGUUUGCAGGCCAAGACGAGAGAUCUCACCAGAGCCCAACCACGCUGGCACCCCGGUCUCCAACUUCCAGCUUCCAGAGCUGUGAGAAAGCUUAUUGGUUCCUGCUGCUACCACUCCCAGCUGCUGGCCCAGGAAGCUGACCACAGAUGUACAGAUUAGUGUGUCUUGGCACAAAGCUCAGCUGUCCCAGCCCCCAGGAAGCCUUCUCCUGUCCCCACUUUGGGAAGGCCUCCCUCUGCUGCCUUGGAAUACUUGGCCAUGACCCAGGCUGUCCACCCUUGUGUUGCCGUGGAUUGACUGGCACCUGCCAUUCGUCUCUGGAGCUGUAUGUUCCUCAAAGAGCUGACCUGGGAUGCUAUUGCACAUUUUCCUCCUGGGAAAAAUAAUUCACAUUCAUCUCUGACUGAGGACUUAGCACAGUACUUGGCCCAUCCUAGAUACUCAACAAGAAUUUGUGGGAUGAAUAAGUGGAAAAACAAAAACAAAACAAAACACCUGUUGUAGGUUUGUCUUUUUCUCAAGGAACUAGACCACAGGGGUGACUCCAGUGCCUUUGGGUUGUCAUGGUGACGGUUUGAUCCACAAAAACAUUAUUCACCCAAACGGGGGCGUCUCCAGGAAGGUUAUCCUUCUUCACUUGCACCUGGGAGUGACUGUCUAAAGGUCGUGGACCAAGGAGUGACACCCACUGCCACAGGGCUUGGCAGUUCACUUGGCUUCUUCAUACUCAGAAGGGUCCUGUUACUUAUGACGAUGAAUUUGGUGGCAUUUUUCUUUGUAGUUCACACUUGAGAACCAAGGAAUGAAUACAGAUACUCUCACAGGCCAGCCCCAGUGUGGGGUAGCCCCUGUCUGAAAACAGUCAGAUAAAACAAAAUUAAUUAUAGCAAGAAAAUUUUAAAAAAGGAGUUCAUUCUGCCAGAAUGAACUCGAUGAAUUUAUCAUUACUGAGAUUUAUUUUCCUUUGAGAAGAAACACUUAUCAGAGAUGGACCUUGAUGAACCAGCGCUGGAAAGUGAUAACCGCUUGGUGACUGUGGUGAAGCCAGGGCGUAGGAGAAAGAGGAGAAUUGUUAACUAAAGACAGAAAUGCCGGUGGGAUGUUUCCUGUAUAUAUAUUAGCCUUGGACUGAAAACCAGUCAUUCUCCAGGGGUCCAACGUGGACCUUGUGGGGAGGAGAAUGUAUAUAUAUUUCCUACAAUUAUUUAUAUUUUUUUAAAAAAGGAAAUAUUCCUCUUUUUUCUAUAAAACCUUAUACAAUUUUAAAAUAUUACAAAAGUAAAUAAAAUCCAAGGUGUAUAUCCAUGUAAUCUUAUCUUGUAGUAGUGACCGCAUUGAGAGGACACUGGUCCUGCCAUAUCCCUGGGGAGGGGCCCUCAAAUCACCUGAAAACAGGUCUCAUAUGCACAGCCCACGCAAGGGGCAGUGAAUGUCCCUAUAGACCCAUCUGUGUGGGGUGAUUCUGAGGGCUCUCAGGAUAUGGAGUCCCAGGGGGGCCCAUAGCCCCCCUAGACCCACCCUUGGUUGGCUCGGCCCUCCCAGUCUCAUUACUCUUUCUGUUCUUCCCAAGGUCAUCUCUCAGAUAAAGUGCGUGCACCCAAAUGCUUGCCUCAUGGUGUGUUUGGGGAGCCCUACUGCUUUCUAACCAUCUCCUCAAUUUAUACUGUCUACACCCAGGAUCAGGGAAGAGUCAUGGCUGGGAGGUAUUCCUGCCUUUUUUACCUCAUUCUUUUCUGUCCUACCCAAGCCUUUCUGGUCCUCAUCUCUGUGUUCCUUUUGCUGCUCAGCUCUCUAGUCCAGAGUUCAUCUCUCUUCUCACGGAAUCACAUUCCCACCCAACACACCUUUUCUUCCUUCCUUCCUUCUUUUUUUGUAAAAAGGCUUUACUCACUUAUUUGAGAGAGAGAGAGAUAGCAAGAGAGAAGAGCAGGGUGGAGAAGGAGAAGCAGAUGUGGGGAGAGGAGAGGUUCCCAAACAGCAGAUUCUGGACAGUCUUAUCUCAGAAGCACACGGAUCACAUCCGCAUGCACAGGUUUGCACUUUUGCGAAGCCCUCUGUGGUACCUUCACCAUGUCUUGGGUAAGCAUCAACAGACUGUAAAUGUCUUGACAGCAGAUGUAGAUCUCACAUUCCUGUGGUCUCCCCUUCUGCCUCCUAGCAAACCCCAGGGCAGGAGCUGGCUGCUGCCGAGCAGAGAGGCCUACUAUAGUCAAGAGUCACCUCUCCUGUGCCCUUACCAG